Molecule: transfer RNA, 92 nt
Filed under: Microbacterium oxydans
Lineage: Bacteria; Bacillati; Actinomycetota; Actinomycetes; Micrococcales; Microbacteriaceae
Description: tRNA-Arg
Source: RNAcentral
GCGCCCGUUCGCGGGCGAGCUGCAUGACGCGCUCCGGCCCCGUCGCUCUGGUCGCGGCGAGGAGUGCCGUCAUCGCGGGGCGGCGGGCGUCC